RNAcentral lists this small RNA (2108 nucleotides) under Pongo abelii (Sumatran orangutan). RNAcentral describes it as "retained intron". Lineage: Eukaryota; Metazoa; Chordata; Mammalia; Primates; Hominidae. The record is from RNAcentral.
GCACUCGUUGCAGGCGACGAUGCAGAGGGCUGUAAGUGUGGUGGCCCAUCUGGGCUCUCGCCUGCAGGCAUUCUCCCCGGCCUUGUGUCGUCCAUUUAGUUGCGCACAGGACACCGCUGUAUGACUUCCACCUGGCCCACGGCGGGAAAAUGGUGGCGUUUGCGGGUUGGAGUCUGCCAGUGCAGUACCGGGACAGUCACACUGACUCGCACCUGCACACACGCCAGCACUGCUCGCUCUUUGACGUGUCUCAUAUGCUGCAGACCAAGAUACUUGGUAGUGACCGGGUGAAGCUGAUGGAGAGUCUAGUGGUUGGAGACAUUGCAGAGCUAAGACCAAACCAGGGGACACUGUCGCUGUUUACCAACGAGGCUGGAGGCAUCUUAGAUGACUUGAUUGUAACCAGUACUUCUGAGGGCCACCUGUAUGUGGUGUCCAACGCUGGCUGCUGGGAGAAAGAUUUGGCCCUCAUGCAGGUAUACCCCCUCUGUGUUCUAGGCACCUUGUCUUCCUUGUUCAUAGAGCAGCAUCCUUGUUAUCCAAGACAGGGUUGGCACAGACAAAGGACCUGGAAAAUGGCUCUUUCAGUGAAUGAACAGCUAUGAGACUCAAGAGCAGGCCCUCUCUGGAGCAUGCCAGGGUUUGGUGGUGGGGGAUUACCAGGCAUGGGGAGGGGGUCUUGGCCCCUCUGGUGUGAGGUGGCAGACCUGGGCUUGGGUCAUCUCUAUCACUUAGUAGCUAUGUGACCUUGUAAGAUGGGAACCAGCCUACUACCUUUUUUUCCUCCCUCCUCCUCCUCCUCUCCACUGUCUUACUACUGUCCAGCUCUGCAGCGUCCAGCCCAUGGUAGCUGCUCAGUAAGUGGCCCCAGAUGCUCUUGUGUUUCUGUCUUUUAGGACAAGGUCAGGGAGCUUCAGAACCAGGGCAGAGAUGUGGGCCUGGAGGUGUUGGAUAAUGCCCUGCUAGCUCUGCAAGGCCCCACUGCAGCCCAGGUACUACAGGCCGGCGUGGCAGAUGACCUGAGGAAACUGCCCUUCAUGACCAGUGCUGUGAUGGAGGUGUUUGGCGUGUCUGGCUGCCGUGUGACCCGCUGUGGCUACACAGGAGAGGAUGGUGUGGAGAUCUCGGUGCCGGUAGCGGGGGCAGUUCACCUGGCAACAGCUCUUCUGAAAAACCCAGAGGUGAAGCUGGCAGGGCUGGCAGCCAGGGACAGCCUGCGCCUGGAGGCAGGCCUCUGCCUGUACGGGAAUGACAUUGAUGAACACACUACACCUGUGGAGGGCAGCCUCAGUUGGACACUGGGGAAGCGCCGCCGAGCUGCUAUGGACUUCCCUGGAGCCAAAGUCAUUGUUCCCCAGCUGAAGGGCAAGGUGCAGCGGAGGCGUGUGGGGUUGAUGUGUGAGGGGGCCCCCAUGCGGGCACACAGUCCCAUCCUGAACAUGGAGGGUACCAAGAUUGGUACUGUGACUAGUGGCUGCCCCUCGCCCUCUCUGAAGAAGAAUGUGGCGAUGGGUUAUGUGCCCUGCGAGUACAGUCGUCCAGGGACAAUGCUGCUGGUAGAGCUUCCUUCAGGACCCUGCUUCUGAGUGACGGACCAGCUCACACAAUGUCUUGUUUCAGUCCAUGAUCCCACUGACCUACUCUUGCCUGCUGGAGGGUAAUGAGAAGCUUUGGUUCUGCCAUCUCUCCCACUCUGCCAGGUGCUGGCUGUGGAGCAAAGGCUCACCUUUGUGGGGAGGAUAAAACCUGCCCAACCUACCUCACCAUGGUUUUUCACAUUGCAAACGGUAAUAACAUGGGCAGUGUGGACUUAGGCUACCCCCUCCAGUUUGCUUUCCGUAAAUGCAAAUUGUCCCUACUGCAAGUCAGGAAUGAUUGCCGACUCACAGUAGGGCUGCUAUGCCUGUGUGUAAACUUGGGGAUGGCUGAGGGAACACAGACUCACUCUUCCGCAUUCCCAAGUUGGUCUAGUGUGCUGCCCAGUAGCAAACCAUGGCAGGCUCACCACCUAUUCUGAGCUCCAGGGCUGUUGUAGGGCAGGGUGGGCUUCCUCCCAGACUUGCCUUACCCUGGGCUGAUCUUUGCCCCUGGUAUGCAUUAAUGGACUC